This 515-nucleotide ribosomal RNA is filed under the name uncultured bacterium. RNAcentral's name for it is "bacterial SSU rRNA". It matches the Rfam family "Bacterial small subunit ribosomal RNA", at positions 8 to 523 of the family's 1533-position model. The record is from RNAcentral.
AGAGUUUGAUCCUGGCUCAGGAUGAACGCUGGCGGCGUGCCUAACACAUGCAAGUCAACGGGGUUAUUUAGGUAAUGUUCCUUCGGGGACAGGAAUCUUAACCUAGUGGCGGACGGGUGAGUAACGCGUGAGCAAUCUGCCUUUAGAGGGGGAUAACAGUCGGAAACGGCUGCUAAUACCGCAUGAUACACUGAGAAGGCAUCUUCUUAGUGUCAAAGAUUUUAUCGCCUUUAGAUGAGCUCGCGUCUGAUUAGCUGGUUGGCGGGGUAACGGCCCACCAAGGCGACGAUCAGUAGCCGGACUGAGAGGUUGAACGGCCACAUUGGGACUGAGACACGGCCCAGACUCCUACGGGAGGCAGCAGUGGGGAAUAUUGCGCAAUGGGGGCAACCCUGACGCAGCAACGCCGCGUGAUUGAAGAAGGCCUUCGGGUUGUAAACUUCUGUCCUCAGGGAAGAUAAUGACGGUACCUGAGGAGGAAGCUCCGGCUAACUACGUGCCAGCAGCCGCGGUAA